AAUUUUUACAAAUUUUUAAAGUUGCCUAAAUUUAAUCCACUUAUAUUCACUGAGUUCUCAACUUAUCAAUCACAGAAUGUGUCAGUAGCCAAACCAGUUCUUUCAUCUCCCUCUCGUACUAUAGGAGGAGGAGGGAUAGUGUCACCAUCUCCUACCAGUUCAAUGAGUAGCACAUCAACUGAUAGUAAUAAGUCUCUUGGUUUGUCUGAGAUUUGGUGUCAGUGUCUACAAAAGUGUCUGGACCUUGUAAACAUUUAUUGUCCAGCAAUGAUGAAGAAACACUUAACAUAAUGAUUAAUGAGAGAGAAGGAGAAAUGAAGAUUAAAGAAAGAAGUGGAAUGAAAUACAUUGACUCUUUCAUCAAGAAAAAAUGAAAUUAUUAUUUUACUCUUGCUCCGACAUUUCCUAAAUUUUGAAUAGUUUAGCAAUGAGAAGUAAAGUCCUUGAGACAGUCUGAU
Molecule: long non-coding RNA, 458 nt
Organism: Amphimedon queenslandica
Lineage: Eukaryota; Metazoa; Porifera; Demospongiae; Haplosclerida; Niphatidae
Exons: 4
Source: RefSeq, a predicted model, not a curated record